RNAcentral lists this ribosomal RNA (465 nucleotides) under uncultured bacterium. RNAcentral's name for it is "partial 16S ribosomal RNA". It matches the Rfam family "Bacterial small subunit ribosomal RNA", at positions 338 to 795 of the family's 1533-position model. The record is from RNAcentral.
CCUACGGGGUGCUGCAGUAGGGAAUCUUCCACAAUGGGCGAAAGCCUGAUGGAGCAACGCCGCGUGGGUGAAGAAGGUCUUCGGAUCGUAAAACCCUGUUGUUAGAGAAGAAAGUGCGUGAGAGUAACUGUUCACGUUUCGACGGUAUCUAACCAGAAAGCCACGGCUAACUACGUGCCAGCAGCCGCGGUAAUACGUAGGUGGCAAGCGUUAUCCGGAUUUAUUGGGCGUAAAGGGAACGCAGGCGGUCUUUUAAGUCUGAUGUGAAAGCCUUCGGCUUAACCGGAGUAGUGCAUUGGAAACUGGGAGACUGGAGUGCAGAAGAGGAGAGUGGAACUCCAUGUGUAGCGGUGAAAUGCGUAGAUAUAUGGAAGAACACCAGUGGCGAAAGCGGCUCUCUGGUCUGUAACUGACGCUGAGGUUCGAAAGCGUGGGUAGCAAACAGGAUUAGAUACCCCAGUAGUC